Molecule: long non-coding RNA, 733 nt
Filed under: Linum usitatissimum (flax)
Lineage: Eukaryota; Viridiplantae; Streptophyta; Magnoliopsida; Malpighiales; Linaceae
Description: long non-coding RNA (LUSI_LNC002035)
Source: RNAcentral
UAUUUCAAAUAUGUUUAUUAUCUUGAGUACAAUAUUAAUACAUUUAGGGUUAUAUUUUGUAAUUAUUAUAUUAGGAGUUGUAUAGUAUUAUUUUAUAUUAAGUAGGGUAUAGGCAGGGUAUUUAAACCCAUUUCCGACCCAUUCAGUUCAAUUUUUUACGGGUAUUUCUCGCACUGGCCUCUUACUCCGUUCCAUAUAAGUAUUUUUCAUUAUGUUUGAACAAAUAAGGUCGAAUAUCGGUAAAUAUGAAUAAUAUUUUCCAGACUCCGUGCAAGUUACGGCCAUCUAUCUGUACACUUUCCAAAGCGGCACCGCCAAGGAGUCUGAAUGGUUUGAUUAAUUAUGAACCGAGUAUCGAAUUGGUUUGAAACCAUGAUUCAUAGGCUUUCCUCUCUGUCUUCCACUUAAAUUUUCCUGUCUCGUGGCCGGCCAUCGCACAUGAUCAUUUACUCUCUCACCCUAUUCAUAGCUUUGGCCAAUUGGCCUGCAAAUUCAAACAGUGGCGUGGGAUGAUUGUAUUUGCUACUCAAACGGAGAUAGCUAGCUCGGUCCGAACAACUGGUUGAAUGUAUCAAGUCGAGUGUUUAAUAGUUGAAUUGAGUUCGAAAUUUAACAGAUAAUUGUUAUAUAUAUGAUAUAAUUAACACUCGAAUGUCACUUGUGUGUUCAUACGGAAAUCAGAAAAAGUACUGGCUAGAAGCCUUCUUUAGUUGUUUUGAUGAUUCAAAAUGAA